Molecule: long non-coding RNA, 611 nt
Filed under: Monodelphis domestica (gray short-tailed opossum)
Lineage: Eukaryota; Metazoa; Chordata; Mammalia; Didelphimorphia; Didelphidae
Description: lncRNA (ENSMODG00000049885.1)
Source: RNAcentral
CGUGCCUAGGAAGGGCUUGCUCUUGCUCUGUUUAUGAAUUAGGGUAGUGAAUGGGGGAUAGGAGUGGAAGUGAAAGUGCAAUUUUUCUAGAGUCGGUGUCUGGCUUUCCAUUCCUGGAGGAGGUUAUAUAUCUACAUUUGAGUUCAUGUCUCCACAAUAAAUGUAGAAGGAAGAGACAAAGUCCUGCAAAGUUGGGUUUUGUCCUCUCCACAUUGGGACUUUACAGAACAGCUUUGACUUUAUCUGAUGCUCCAUCAGCCUUCUGGCUCCUGCUGACUGAGCCUGGGACAACACUUCUCACUUCCCACUCGUCAUUGUAAAUAUAAAAGUCUCCAUGUACAGAGAGUGACUGUCAUUCAUGCCACCAACAUUCUUCCAGCAGGUGCUGGGACAAGUUCAAUGGAAAGCUCACGGCCCAAGCUAGGGUUCUUUCUUUGUUGGGAGACUGAGGCUGUUUGCAUCUGGGUUAGGACAGCUGAGGAAGUGAGCAUCAGGCCAAGCUGGGCUGAGCUGGGCUGCACUAAGACCUAUCAGGGAGAGCAGAGUGCGUAGGUGGCCAGCUCAGCUGCUUGCCUGCCUCUCAGGAAGAACAAUUGAACUGUCACCCGGUG